RNAcentral lists this ribosomal RNA (301 nucleotides) under uncultured bacterium. RNAcentral's name for it is "partial 16S ribosomal RNA". It matches the Rfam family "Bacterial small subunit ribosomal RNA", at positions 509 to 807 of the family's 1533-position model. The record is from RNAcentral.
CAGUAGCCGCGGGAAUACGUAGGGUGCAAGCGUUAAUCGGAAUUACUGGGCGUAAGGCGUGCGCAGGCGGUUAUAUAAGUCAGAUGUGAAAUCCCCGGGCUCAACCUGGGAACUGCAUUCGAGACUGUAUGGCUAGAGUGUGUCAGAGGGGGGUGGAAUUCCACGUGUAGCAGUGAAAUGCGUAGAUAUGUGGAGGAAUACCGAUGGCGAAGGCAGCCCCCUGGGAUAACACUGACGCUCAUGCACGAAAGCGUGGGGAGCAAACAGGAUUAGAUACCCCUGUAGUCCCUGUCUCUUAUAC